UACGUAGGGGGCGAGCGUUGUCCGGAUUUACUGGGCGUAAAGCGCGCGUAGGCGGCUUCGCAAGUCGGAUGUGAAAGCCCUGGGCUCAACCCAGGAAGUGCAUUCGAAACUGCAGAGCUGGAGUCCUGGAGAGGAAGGCGGAAUUCUCGGUGUAGAGGUGAAAUUCGUAGAUAUCGAGAGGAACACCGGUGGCGAAGGCGGCCUUCUGGACAGUGACUGACGCUGAGACGCGAAAGCGUGGGGAGCAAACAGG
This 253-nucleotide ribosomal RNA is filed under the name uncultured bacterium. RNAcentral describes it as "partial 16S ribosomal RNA". It matches the Rfam family "Bacterial small subunit ribosomal RNA", at positions 524 to 776 of the family's 1533-position model. The record is from RNAcentral.